This 155-nucleotide long non-coding RNA is filed under the name Fukomys damarensis (Damara mole-rat). RNAcentral describes it as "lncRNA (ENSFDAG00000028225.1)". Lineage: Eukaryota; Metazoa; Chordata; Mammalia; Rodentia; Bathyergidae. The record is from RNAcentral.
CUUGCACAGGACAGAAUCGCAUCAGCCACUGUCCCCUGGAGCAGGAGCAGCCACAGGCCUGCUGAGGGAUUCCGUGUGGCCACAGGUAUGGCACUGUGUACACAGUGGAUAGCAUGGAAGUCUGCACCACCUGCUCCAGAACCUUCAGGGCAACC